Molecule: ribosomal RNA, 1872 nt
Filed under: Triticum aestivum (bread wheat)
Lineage: Eukaryota; Viridiplantae; Streptophyta; Magnoliopsida; Poales; Poaceae
Description: partial small subunit ribosomal RNA
Source: RNAcentral
AUGGACGACUACCUCAAGCUACAUCUAGUUCCUCCCGAAGAUCAAGUGAAGUGCGCCACAAGAAACUUCCACGACUACGCCUCGACAUGGUGGCUCCACACACCUUCGGAAACCUACGACAUGAGUUGGCCCAAGACGAAGAAAGCUUUGCGGCGAGAAUUUGUGCCUCCAACCUACACGGAACAACUUCUACGCCAAUUGGAGAACACCAACCAAGGAUCCAAGUCCAUCGACGAGUACUUCAAGGAGAUGAAAAAAUCCUUGCGACGAGCCGGCGUGGACGACCCCAUGUCAAUGAAGUUCCACUUCAUGAUGGGAUUGAACAAUGCCAUCUCCAAGACUAUCUUCCUCGAGAACUACAAGUCCCUCGACGACAACUACAUUGGCGCUCUCAAGGCGGAACAAGAACUCAUGAAGACCAAGGCUUCUCCACCCCAAGCACACUUCUCGAAGACCAAGCUCAAAGACGACGAGCAUGAGGCUAGUACCACCAAGAUGUCCAAGCCCGACGAGCUCCAAGACGAUGCUCCCAAGUUCGACUUCACCGCCUUCCCUCUUUGUGGCAUUGAUGAUGCCGAGUCCUCCACGACUCUUUUUCAAGAUGGUGCGGCGACGAGUACGACUACGGAGACCUUCAAGGACCAAGCUUUUGAGGCAAGCGACAUGGUGACGAGCAAGGAUGAUGCUUCCAUCUUAGGAGGCGAGAGUGAUGAUGUGCCAUCUUCGGCUUUCAUCCACGACGACGGCGAUGAGAUGGUUGAGUAUUUCACUUCGACCACGGCGACGUAUGAUGACUUGAGUGACUUGUGCCACCAUAUUGAGAGUGAGAGUGACUUCACCACUAGCCCCAUAUCCGAUGUGUUGCCCCAAUUCCCAUGUGAGGAGAGCCACAACCCCCACCACUUGAGUGAGAUGAGUGACUCCACCAUACGUGCGAUUGAGUGCACCUACUUUGAGGGAGUGAGUGAACCACCACAUAGAGAGAGUGAGGCCACUUCGAUUUCUAACGACUUAACCUCUACCUCUAUUGUGUCUUCUCAUUUGGUGCUAGGUCUCAUUUGUGAUGACGCGCCGAUUCACGACGACUUCGUCCUUCCUAUGGACAUGACGAUGGCCAUGGUGGAAUAUGAUGCACCCCCCACAUGGUUCCAUCAAGAUGAAGAUGACCACCAUUUGGUCUUUCCCACCUCACCUACACCACUUGAUUGGAAUGACAAAGGUAACAUAGGUGACGGUGAUGCUCUAGUCCCACUAGUGGACAUUCUUGACAUUGAUUGCUUGCAUGAUGUUGAUCCACCUAUUACCUUGCUUCAUGCUAGUGAGAUUUCCCCAUGGGAUGAUUUACCCAUUUAUGAUGAGUAUGAUGAUUGCCAUGUGGAGUCUAUUAGUUGUGAUGCCAUGUUACAUAGGAUUUCUUGUGACAAUUCUUUAGGUCACAUCAUGUUUGACAGUCCGCUUGACUUGUCAUAUGCUAUGCAUGAGAUCAAUCAUAUGUCAUAUUUGCAAUCUCUUCGUAGUGACUAUGCAUAUGCCAGUAAAAUUAACCCAAUUUGCACAUAUGGCAUAGAUGACAAGCCCAUGGUUAUUGGCAUUUGUUUUUCUUGUGACGAUAUUGACAUGCCCCCUUUGCAUCAUUUAUCUCAUAUGCCAUGCCAUGACCACCUAGCUUCGGAUAUGCAUUGUUGUGGAUGUUGUCCAUUUUCUCCAUAUGAUUACAAUAUUGCUCAUGAGGAGACCCCCAUAGUUUCCUCAUACAUUUUAGGAGAUUUUGAUCCAUCCUAUCCAUUGCAUGAUCCCAAUAAUUAUGUGCACAAUAUGCUCCCCAUGAAUCAUAAUGAUAUUGUUGUGCCAUAUACUAGUAUGCUCAAUUAG